RNAcentral lists this transfer RNA (77 nucleotides) under Halanaerobium salsuginis. RNAcentral describes it as "tRNA_Met_CAT". It matches the Rfam family "tRNA". From Rfam's summary of the family: Transfer RNA (tRNA) molecules are approximately 80 nucleotides in length. Their secondary structure includes four short double-helical elements and three loops (D, anti-codon, and T loops). The record is from RNAcentral. RNAcentral also lists the same sequence under 4 other names. Lineage: Bacteria; Bacillati; Bacillota; Clostridia; Halanaerobiales; Halanaerobiaceae.
GGGUCUAUAGCUCAGUUGGCUAGAGCAUGUGGUUCAUACCCACAGUGUCAGAGGUUCAAGUCCUCUUAGACCCACCA